RNAcentral lists this unclassified non-coding RNA (200 nucleotides) under soil metagenome. Its description in RNAcentral is "partial contains internal transcribed spacer 2 and large subunit ribosomal RNA". The record is from RNAcentral.
UCAUUGCAACCCUCAAGCUCGGCUUGGUGUUGGGCAUCGUCCCCCGGGGCGGGCCUGGAAAUCAGUGGCGGUCCAGUGAGACUUCAAGCGUAGUAAAUUGUUCAUCCGCUUUGGAAGCUUCUCCCUGCGUGCCAGCCGGAAAACCUUAUAUUUUUUCAAUGGUUGACCUCGGAUCAGGUAGGGAUACCCGCUGAACUUAA